RNAcentral lists this ribosomal RNA (497 nucleotides) under uncultured bacterium. Its description in RNAcentral is "partial 16S ribosomal RNA". It matches the Rfam family "Bacterial small subunit ribosomal RNA", at positions 28 to 507 of the family's 1533-position model. The record is from RNAcentral.
GAUGAACGCUGGCGACGUGCCUAAUACAUGCAAGUCGAGCGAACGGACGAGAAGCUUGCUUCUCUGAUGUUAGCGGCGGACGGGUGAGUAACACGUGGAUAACCUACCUAUAAGACUGGGAUAACUCCGGGAAACCGGAGCUAAUACCGGAUAAUAUUUUGAACCGCAUGGUUCAAAAGUGAAAGACGGUCUUGCUGUCACUUAUAGAUGGAUCCGCGCUGCAUUAGCUAGUUGGUAAGGUAACGGCUUACCAAGGCAACGAUGCAUAGCCGACCUGAGAGGGUGAUCGGCCACACUGGAACUGAGACACGGUCCAGACUCCUACGGGAGGCAGCAGUAGGGAAUCUUCCGCAAUGGGCGAAAGCCUGACGGAGCAACGCCGCGUGAGUGAUGAAGGUCUUCGGAUCGUAAAACUCUGUUAUUAGGGAAGAACAUAUGUGUAAGUAACUGUGCACAUCUUGACGGUACCUAAUCAGAAAGCCACGGCUAACUACGUG